UUUCCGUAGGUGAACCUGCGGAAGGAUCAUUACAGAGUUCAUGCCCUCACGGGUAGAUCUCCCACCCUUGAAUAUUUAUACCUUAGUUGCUUUGGCAGGCCGUGGAAACACCAUGGGCUCCGGCUUAUGCGUGCCUGCCAGAGGAAGCAAACUCUGUUUUUAGUGAUGUCUGAGUACUAUAUAAUAGUUAAAACUUUCAACAACGGAUCUCUUGGUUCUG
Molecule: unclassified non-coding RNA, 220 nt
Filed under: plant metagenome
Description: partial contains small subunit ribosomal RNA, internal transcribed spacer 1, and 5.8S ribosomal RNA
Source: RNAcentral